GAGCAAGUGAGCUUUGUGCUCUUUCUAGUCAGAGCAAGUGUGGCCUUGGUGGACUGUAGGGAACAGUGUCUCUCAGGUAAAAAUAAGUUGCUAAGAUUCACACCAGAAUGAUGCAAAUCUUUCAUUUGCAAACAGAUCCUGAAAUGGGAGCCAUGUGGAAAGAGGACUGACUUGGAAAUCAGAUUCAGGGUCCUGCCUAGCUUUCUUCCAGAUGAUGCCACCAAUCAGCCAUCUGGUCUCAGGGGAAUACAUGGCUUCCUCCUGACUUCUUUGCAUUUUCCCAGUACCUUUGAUUUUGGAAAUACUAUGAGAAUGAUGGCUACAUUUUUUCAGUGUUGGAAAUUCCUGAAACAGAACAGGGUUUCUCAACAUUUCCUGAAAUUUCAAAAACUCAGAAAAAGAUUUCAAAAAAAAAAAAAAAAAAGAAUAUUCAACUAAAUAUUCAUUUGUUAGCCCAGCACUGGAAGGGAACAGCCCUAAAGAAUAACUGGUGAGUAAAUCAACACCAAUACCACUAUCAUUCAUCUCCUUCAUACCAGCCUAACCCAAAAGAAUUUCUUGGCACCCACAGGAAGGUUAAUUGAAAAGAUAAAUCUACUCUGGGAAGCAUUUGUAUUUUAAGGACAGAUGGAAUUGGGGAAGUGCCAUGCUGACAUCUAUCAUUCUACAAAUCAUAAUUAUUGUCAGUGACCCGAAACCUGGCGCAUGUUAUGAUGGUUAAAUAAUGUCCAUAGUUUUGCUCUCCAGGAAUGCUUUUGUCCCCGACCUGAUCAUUAUCAUGCUUCUUGGGUCUUUUAGGCCUAAAAUGUGUAAGCUGCUUAUAUUUAUCUGGGUAGCUGGUUAAUUUUGGUGGCAGCCACCUUGCAGGUAUGAUUUUUCUUCCACUGACAGAAAACAAAGCCUGGAAUCCUAUCUUUUUUCCCUCUAAAGCAUAGUUUUAUUUUUUGAUUGGAGUAGAAUUGCAUUAUAAUGUUGUUUCUGCUGUACAAUGAAGUGAAUCAGCAUGUGUAUACAUGUAUCACCCCCCUCUUGGAACUCCCUCCCACCCAC
This is a long non-coding RNA of Bos indicus x Bos taurus (hybrid cattle), 1050 nucleotides long. The record is from Ensembl. NCBI's taxonomy places the organism in Eukaryota, Metazoa, Chordata, Mammalia, Artiodactyla, Bovidae.